GACGAACGCUGGCGGCGUGCUUAACACAUGCAAGUCGAACGGGUGCUUAUUCGGAAAGGCUUCGGCUCGGAAGAAUAAGUUACUAGUGGCGGACGGGUGAGUAACGCGUGAGGAACCUGCCCUCAAGUGGGGAAUAACAACGAGAAAUCGUUGCUAAUACCGCAUAAGACUACAAGAUCGCAUGAUCAAGGAGUCAAAGAUUUAUCGCUUGAGGAUGGCCUCGCGUCCCAUUAGCUAGUUGGUAGGGUAAUGGCCUACCAAGGCGACGAUGGGUAGCCGAGCUGAGAGGCUGAUCGGCCACACUGGGACUGAGACACGGCCCAGACUCCUACGGGAGGCAGCAGUGGGGAAUAUUGGGCAAUGGGCGCAAGCCUGACCCAGCAACGCCGCGUGAAGGAAGAAGGUUCUCGGAUUGUAAACUUCUGUUGUGAGGGACGAAACAAAUGACGGUACCUCACGAGGAAGCCCCGGCUAACUACGUGCCAGCCGCCGCCGUAAUACCUAAGACU
Molecule: ribosomal RNA, 509 nt
Filed under: uncultured bacterium
Lineage: Bacteria
Description: bacterial SSU rRNA
Rfam family: Bacterial small subunit ribosomal RNA
Source: RNAcentral